UACGUAGGGUGCGAGCGUUAAUCGGAAUUACUGGGCGUAAAGCGUGCGCAGGCGGUUUUGUAAGCCAGAUGUGAAAUCCCCGGGCUCAACCUGGGAAUGGCAUUUGGGACUGCAAGGCUGGAGUGCGGCAGAGGAGACUGGAAUUCCUGGUGUAGCAGUGAAAUGCGUAGAUAUCAGGAGGAAUACCGAUGGCGAAGGCAGGUCUCUGGGCUGACACUGACGCUCAUGCACGAAAGCGUGGGGA
Molecule: ribosomal RNA, 244 nt
Filed under: uncultured bacterium
Lineage: Bacteria
Description: partial 16S ribosomal RNA
Rfam family: Bacterial small subunit ribosomal RNA
Source: RNAcentral